AGUCACUGACAUUAGAUACCCCUGUAGUCCCAGCCGUAAACUAUGCGCGUUAGGUGUACUGGUGACCACGAGUCACCGGGGUGCCGAAGGGAAACCGUGAAACGUGCCGCCUGGGGAGUACGUCCGCAAGGAUGAAACUUAAAGGAAUUGGCGGGGGAGCACCGCAACGGGAGGAGCGUGCGGUUUAAUUGGAUUCAACACCGUAAAACUCACCAGGGAAGACUGUUACAUGAAGGCCGAGAUGAAGACUCUGCUAGAUUUUCAG
Molecule: ribosomal RNA, 265 nt
Filed under: uncultured archaeon
Lineage: Archaea
Description: partial 16S ribosomal RNA
Rfam family: Archaeal small subunit ribosomal RNA
Source: RNAcentral